CAAAAGAAGCAGAGGGGGCUUAGUGGUGGGGUGACUGCGUACCUUUUGUAUAAUGGGUCAGCGACUUAUAUUCUGUAGCAAGGUUAACCGAAUAGGGGAGCCGGAGGGAAACCGAGUCUUAACCGGGCGUUAAGUUGCAGGGUAUAGACCCGAAACCCGGUGAUCUAGCCAUGGGCAGGUUGAAGGUUGGGUAACACUAACUGGAGGACCGAACCGACUAAUGUUGAAAAAUUAGCGGAUGACCUGUGGCUGGGGGUGAAAGGCCAAUCAAACCGGGAGAUAGCUGGUUCUCCCCGAAAGCUAUUUAGGUAGCGCCUCGUGAAUUCAUCUCCGGGGGUAGAGCACUGUUUCGGCUAGGGGGUCAUCCCGACUUACCAACCCGAUGCAAACUGCGAAUACCGGAGAAUGUUAUCACGGGAGACACACGGCGGGUGCUAACGUCCGUCGUGAAGAGGGAAACAACCCAGACCGCCAGCUAAGGUCCCAAAGUCAUGGUUAAGUGGGAAACGAUGUGGGAAGGCCCAGACAGCCAGGAUGUUGGCUUAGAAGCAGCCAUCAUUUAAAGAAAGCGUAAUAGCUCACUGGUCGAGUCGGCCUGCGCGGAAGAUGUAACGGGGCUAAACCAUGCACCGAAGCUGCGGCAGCGACACUAUGUGUUGUUGGGUAGGGGAGCGUUCUGUAAGCCUGCGAAGGUGUCUCGUGAGGGAUGCUGGAGGUAUCAGAAGUGCGAAUGCUGACAUAAGUAACGAUAAUGCGGGUGAAAAACCCGCACGCCGGAAGACCAAGGGUUCCUGUCCAACGUUAAUCGGGGCAGGGUGAGUCGACCCCUAAGGCGAGGCCGAAAGGCGUAGUCGAUGGGAAACAGGUUAAUAUUCCUGUACUUGGUGUUACUGCGAAGGGGGGACGGAGAAGGCUAUGUUAGCCGGGCGACGGUUGUCCCGGUUUAAGCAUGUAGGCGGAGGUUCCAGGUAAAUCCGGUACCUUAUUAACGCUGAGGUGUGAUGACGAGGCACUACGGUGCUGAAGUAACAAAUG
This 1035-nucleotide ribosomal RNA is filed under the name Salmonella enterica. RNAcentral describes it as "partial 23S ribosomal RNA". It matches the Rfam family "Bacterial large subunit ribosomal RNA", at positions 568 to 1599 of the family's 2925-position model. Lineage: Bacteria; Pseudomonadati; Pseudomonadota; Gammaproteobacteria; Enterobacterales; Enterobacteriaceae. The record is from RNAcentral.